This 474-nucleotide ribosomal RNA is filed under the name uncultured bacterium. RNAcentral's name for it is "bacterial SSU rRNA". It matches the Rfam family "Bacterial small subunit ribosomal RNA", at positions 35 to 507 of the family's 1533-position model. The record is from RNAcentral.
GACGAACGGCUGGCGGCGUGCUUAACACAUGCAAGUCGAACGGACGAGUGAGAUAAGUUUACUUAACUCACAAGUUAGUGGCGGACGGGUGAGUAACACGUGGAUAAUCUACCUGCAACACCGGGAUAACGCUGUGAAAACGGUGCUAAUACCGGAUACGUUCCCUUGUGCGCAUGUAUGAGGGAAGAAAGCUCAGGCGGUUGCAGAUGAGUCCGCGGCUGAUUAGCUAGUUGGUGAGGUAAAGGCUCACCAAGGCGAUGAUCAGUAGCCGGCCUGAGAGGGUGAACGGCCACACUGGGACUGAGACACGGCCCAGACUCCUACGGGAGGCAGCAGUGGGGAAUCUUCCGCAAUGGGCGCAAGCCUGACGGAGCAACGCCGCGUGGGUGAAGAAGGCCUUCGGGUUGUAAAGCCCUGUCUUAUGGGAAGAAGUCAGUGACGGUACCAUAGGAGGAAGCCACGGCUAACUACGUG